RNAcentral lists this ribosomal RNA (1542 nucleotides) under Salmonella enterica. RNAcentral's name for it is "bacterial SSU rRNA". It matches the Rfam family "Bacterial small subunit ribosomal RNA". RNAcentral also lists the same sequence under 12 other names. The record is from RNAcentral. Lineage: Bacteria; Pseudomonadati; Pseudomonadota; Gammaproteobacteria; Enterobacterales; Enterobacteriaceae.
AAAUUGAAGAGUUUGAUCAUGGCUCAGAUUGAACGCUGGCGGCAGGCCUAACACAUGCAAGUCGAACGGUAACAGGAAGCAGCUUGCUGCUUUGCUGACGAGUGGCGGACGGGUGAGUAAUGUCUGGGAAACUGCCUGAUGGAGGGGGAUAACUACUGGAAACGGUGGCUAAUACCGCAUAACGUCGCAAGACCAAAGAGGGGGACCUUCGGGCCUCUUGCCAUCAGAUGUGCCCAGAUGGGAUUAGCUUGUUGGUGAGGUAACGGCUCACCAAGGCGACGAUCCCUAGCUGGUCUGAGAGGAUGACCAGCCACACUGGAACUGAGACACGGUCCAGACUCCUACGGGAGGCAGCAGUGGGGAAUAUUGCACAAUGGGCGCAAGCCUGAUGCAGCCAUGCCGCGUGUAUGAAGAAGGCCUUCGGGUUGUAAAGUACUUUCAGCGGGGAGGAAGGUGUUGCGGUUAAUAACCGCAGCAAUUGACGUUACCCGCAGAAGAAGCACCGGCUAACUCCGUGCCAGCAGCCGCGGUAAUACGGAGGGUGCAAGCGUUAAUCGGAAUUACUGGGCGUAAAGCGCACGCAGGCGGUCUGUCAAGUCGGAUGUGAAAUCCCCGGGCUCAACCUGGGAACUGCAUUCGAAACUGGCAGGCUUGAGUCUUGUAGAGGGGGGUAGAAUUCCAGGUGUAGCGGUGAAAUGCGUAGAGAUCUGGAGGAAUACCGGUGGCGAAGGCGGCCCCCUGGACAAAGACUGACGCUCAGGUGCGAAAGCGUGGGGAGCAAACAGGAUUAGAUACCCUGGUAGUCCACGCCGUAAACGAUGUCUACUUGGAGGUUGUGCCCUUGAGGCGUGGCUUCCGGAGCUAACGCGUUAAGUAGACCGCCUGGGGAGUACGGCCGCAAGGUUAAAACUCAAAUGAAUUGACGGGGGCCCGCACAAGCGGUGGAGCAUGUGGUUUAAUUCGAUGCAACGCGAAGAACCUUACCUGGUCUUGACAUCCACAGAAGAAUCCAGAGAUGGAUUUGUGCCUUCGGGAACUGUGAGACAGGUGCUGCAUGGCUGUCGUCAGCUCGUGUUGUGAAAUGUUGGGUUAAGUCCCGCAACGAGCGCAACCCUUAUCCUUUGUUGCCAGCGAUUAGGUCGGGAACUCAAAGGAGACUGCCAGUGAUAAACUGGAGGAAGGUGGGGAUGACGUCAAGUCAUCAUGGCCCUUACGACCAGGGCUACACACGUGCUACAAUGGCGCAUACAAAGAGAAGCGACCUCGCGAGAGCAAGCGGACCUCAUAAAGUGCGUCGUAGUCCGGAUUGGAGUCUGCAACUCGACUCCAUGAAGUCGGAAUCGCUAGUAAUCGUGGAUCAGAAUGCCACGGUGAAUACGUUCCCGGGCCUUGUACACACCGCCCGUCACACCAUGGGAGUGGGUUGCAAAAGAAGUAGGUAGCUUAACCUUCGGGAGGGCGCUUACCACUUUGUGAUUCAUGACUGGGGUGAAGUCGUAACAAGGUAACCGUAGGGGAACCUGCGGUUGGAUCACCUCCUUA